Molecule: ribosomal RNA, 231 nt
Filed under: uncultured bacterium
Lineage: Bacteria
Description: partial 16S ribosomal RNA
Rfam family: Bacterial small subunit ribosomal RNA
Source: RNAcentral
GAUCAUGGCUCAGGACGAACGCUGGCGGCGUGCUUAACACAUGCAAGUCGAGCGGUAAGGCUCCUUCGGGAGUACACGAGCGGCGAACGGGUGAGUAACACGUGAGCAAUCUGCCCUUCUCUUCGGAAUAACCAUUGGAAACGAUGGCUAAUGCCGAAUAUGACUCCGGACUGCAUGGUCUGGAGUGGAAAGCUCCGGCGGAGAAGGAUGAGCUCGCGGCCUAUCAGCUUG